RNAcentral lists this ribosomal RNA (283 nucleotides) under uncultured bacterium. RNAcentral describes it as "partial 16S ribosomal RNA". It matches the Rfam family "Bacterial small subunit ribosomal RNA", at positions 56 to 339 of the family's 1533-position model. The record is from RNAcentral.
UGCAAGUCGAACGCUCUCGACCUUCGGGUCACCUGAGGGAGUGGCGAACGGGUGCGUAACACGUGAGGAACCUACCCGAAGUCGGGAAUAGCCCGAGGAAACUCGGAUUAAUACCCGAUAUCUUCACCGGACCGCAUGGUCUGGUGAAGAAAGUUCCGGCGCUUCGGGAGGGCCUCGCGGCCUAUCAGCUUGUUGGUGAGGUAACGGCUCACCAAGGCAUCGACGGGUAGCUGGUCUGAGAGGACGAUCAGCCACACUGGGACUGAGACACGGCCCAGACUCC